UAAUGAGGGGAAAAGGAAAAAGCUGA
RNAcentral lists this non-coding RNA (26 nucleotides) under Rattus norvegicus (Norway rat). Lineage: Eukaryota; Metazoa; Chordata; Mammalia; Rodentia; Muridae. The record is from RNAcentral.